Molecule: transfer RNA, 76 nt
Filed under: Cervus elaphus hippelaphus
Lineage: Eukaryota; Metazoa; Chordata; Mammalia; Artiodactyla; Cervidae
Description: tRNA-Met
Rfam family: tRNA
About the family: Transfer RNA (tRNA) molecules are approximately 80 nucleotides in length. Their secondary structure includes four short double-helical elements and three loops (D, anti-codon, and T loops). Further hydrogen bonds mediate the characteristic L-shaped molecular structure. tRNAs have two regions of fundamental functional importance: the anti-codon, which is responsible for specific mRNA codon recognition, and the 3' end, to which the tRNAs corresponding amino acid is attached (by aminoacyl-tRNA synthetases). tRNAs cope with the degeneracy of the genetic code in two manners: having more than one tRNA (with a specific anti-codon) for a particular amino acid; and 'wobble' base-pairing, i.e. permitting non-standard base-pairing at the 3rd anti-codon position.
Source: RNAcentral
GCCUCCUUAGCGCAGUAGGCAGCGCGUCAGUCUCAUAAUCUGAAGGUCCUGAGUUCGAACCUCAGAGGGGGCAACA